AAUUCUAAAGUAGGAAAAUUGGCUCCAAAAAGGGGGAUCACAAAAUAUUGUGCACAAAUGUUGAAAGGGGGUGAUCAACAUCAAUCUGAAGAUGGAUCUCUGCAACAAUCUCCAUCUAACCACACAACUUGUGAGUUGCAUUUGGCAUGCAUGUUAUUUUUUAUAUUCUGCUGAUGAUAAAUGCAGUAUGGUAUUUAUUGAAUUAAAAACUACUUUUGGAAAUAAUUGAAGCAUGUAAUCAAGAUAUUUAAUGUGAUUAAUGGUUCUUUUCUUAUAAAAGAAGAUUAAAUAGCAGCAUAUUUAAUUACUGACAAUAGCAGCAUAUCUAAUAAAUGAUCUUUACAUUGUCAUGACAUGAAUGCAUAAUGACAUUAAUACCUGUAUUUUGGAUAAAAAUGCAGCUCAAGAGACUACACCUCCAGACUUAACGGCAUCUCCAACUAUAGUCAAUGCACCUCAAGAUACCACACCAUCGGGGAUAGUCCAAGACAACACACCUCCAGACACAGAAUAUUUAGAGACAACCCAAGACAAUGCUACUCGAGACAGCACCACUACCAGAGGUAACCCGAGAUACAGUACCACCUACAGCAGCUGCAAAUAUAGCAUCAGGAG
This 615-nucleotide long non-coding RNA is filed under the name Elaeis guineensis (African oil palm). RNAcentral's name for it is "long non-coding RNA (EGUI_LNC012866)". The record is from RNAcentral. Lineage: Eukaryota; Viridiplantae; Streptophyta; Magnoliopsida; Arecales; Arecaceae.